Molecule: transfer RNA, 68 nt
Filed under: Opsarius bernatziki
Lineage: Eukaryota; Metazoa; Chordata; Actinopteri; Cypriniformes; Danionidae
Description: tRNA-Ala
Rfam family: tRNA
About the family: Transfer RNA (tRNA) molecules are approximately 80 nucleotides in length.
Source: RNAcentral
GGGGUUUUAGUUUAAUAAAAACAUCUGAUUUGCAUUCAGAAAAUGUGGGGUAAUGCCUGCAGAUCCUA